RNAcentral lists this ribosomal RNA (253 nucleotides) under uncultured bacterium. RNAcentral's name for it is "partial 16S ribosomal RNA". It matches the Rfam family "Bacterial small subunit ribosomal RNA", at positions 524 to 776 of the family's 1533-position model. The record is from RNAcentral.
UACGUAGGGUGCAAGCGUUGUUCGGAAUUACUGGGCGUAAAGCGCACGUAGGCGGAUCGUUAAGUCAGGGGUGAAAUCCCGAGGCUCAACCUCGGAACUGCCUUUGAUACUGGCAAUCUCGAGUCCGGAAGAGGUGAGUGGAAUUCCUAGUGUAGAGGUGAAAUUCGUAGAUAUUAGGAAGAACACCAGUGGCGAAGGCGGCUCACUGGUCCGGUACUGACGCUGAGGUGCGAAAGCGUGGGGAGCAAACAGG